AUUGAACGCUGGCGGCAGGCCUAACACAUGCAAGUCGAACGAGUGGCGGACGGGUGAGUAAUGUCUGGGAAACUGCCCGAUGGAGGGGGAUAACUACUGGAAACAGUAGCUAAUACCGCAUACCAUCGGAUGUGCCCAGAUGGGAUUAGCUAGUAGGUGGGGUAACGGCUCACCGAGGCGACGAUCCCUAGCUGGUCUGAGAGGAUGACCGGCCACACUGGAACUGAGACACGGUCCAGACUCCUACGGGAGGCAGCAGUAGGGAAUGUUGCGCAAUGGGCGAAAGCCUGAUGCAGCCACGCCGCGUGUAUGAAGAAGGCCUUCGGGUUGUAAAGUACUUUCAGAGGGGAAGCGUUACUCGCAGAAGAAGCACCGGCUAACUCCGUGCCAGCAGCCGCGGUAAUAC
Molecule: ribosomal RNA, 406 nt
Filed under: uncultured bacterium
Lineage: Bacteria
Description: partial 16S ribosomal RNA
Rfam family: Bacterial small subunit ribosomal RNA
Source: RNAcentral